RNAcentral lists this ribosomal RNA (553 nucleotides) under uncultured bacterium. Its description in RNAcentral is "partial 16S ribosomal RNA". It matches the Rfam family "Bacterial small subunit ribosomal RNA", at positions 355 to 902 of the family's 1533-position model. The record is from RNAcentral.
UGGGGAAUUUUGGACAAUGGGCGAAAGCCUGAUCCAGCAAUGCCGCGUGUGUGAAGAAGGCCUUCGGGUUGUAAAGCACUUUUGUCCGGAAAGAAAUCCUUGGCUCUAAUACAGUCGGGGGAUGACGGUACCGGAAGAAUAAGCACCGGCUAACUACGUGCCAGCAGCCGCGGUAAUACGUAGGGUGCAAGCGUUAAUCGGAAUUACUGGGCGUAAAGCGUGCGCAGGCGGUUUGCUAAGACCGAUGUGAAAUCCCCGGGCUCAACCUGGGAACUGCAUUGGUGACUGGCAGGCUAGAGUAUGGCAGAGGGGGGUAGAAUUCCACGUGUAGCAGUGAAAUGCGUAGAGAUGUGGAGGAAUACCGAUGGCGAAGGCAGCCCCCUGGGCCAAUACUGACGCUCAUGCACGAAAGCGUGGGGAGCAAACAGGAUUAGAUACCCUGGUAGUCCACGCCCUAAACGAUGUCAACUAGUUGUUGGGGAUUCAUUCCUUAGUAACGUAGCUAACGCGUGAAGUUGACCGCCUGGGGAGUACGGUCGCAAGAUUAAAACUC